RNAcentral lists this ribosomal RNA (322 nucleotides) under uncultured Sandona. Its description in RNAcentral is "SSU rRNA". The stretch from base 105 to 322 matches the Rfam family "Eukaryotic small subunit ribosomal RNA", at positions 736 to 955 of the family's 1831-position model. Lineage: Eukaryota; Cercozoa; Glissomonadida. The record is from RNAcentral.
GAUUUCUGGCUCGGUGCGCCUGGCCCGCCACGGUUACGUGUGUGAGUGCUGGGUCGCGCCUGCCAUCCUUCUAGAGAACGGUUCUACCCUUCAUUGGGCCGGGGCCGCAAUCUAGAUCUUUUACUUUGAAAAAAUUAGAGUGUUUAAAGCAGGCUUUUGCUAUGAAUACAUUAGCAUGGAAUAAUAAUUUAGGACUUCGGUUCUAUUUUGUUGGUUUCUAGGACUGAAGUAAUGAUUGAUAGGGAUAGUUGGGGGUGCUAGUAUUCAGUGGCCAGAGGUGAAAUUCUCGGAUUCACUGAAGACUAACUUCUGCGAAAGCAUU